This 153-nucleotide ribosomal RNA is filed under the name uncultured bacterium. Its description in RNAcentral is "partial 16S rRNA". It matches the Rfam family "Bacterial small subunit ribosomal RNA", at positions 355 to 511 of the family's 1533-position model. The record is from RNAcentral.
UUAGGAAUCUUCCACAAUGGGCGAAAGCCUGAUGGAGCGACGCCGCGUGAGGGUAGAAGGUUUCUAGGAUCGUAAACCUCUGAAUCAACGACGAAAGACCCGACGAGGGGGAUGACGGUAGUUGAGUAAUAGCACCGGCUAACUCCGUGCCAG